CUGAGAGGAAGGUCCCCCACACUGGUACUGAGACACGGACCAGACUCCUACGGGAGGCAGCAGUGAGGAAUAUUGGUCAAUGGGCUUACGCCUGAACCAGCCAAGUCGCGUGAGGGAAGACUGCCCUAUGGGUUGUAAACCUCUUUUGUCAGGGAGCAACGCCGGCUACGUGUAGCCGGACUGAGAGUACCUGAAGAAAAAGCAUCGGCUAACUCCGUGCCAGCAGCCGCGGUAAUACGGAGGAUGCGAGCGUUAUCCGGAUUUAUUGGGUUUAAAGGGUGCGUAGGCGGAAUGCCAAGUCAGCGGUAAAAUCGCGGGGCUCAACCUCGCUCCGCCGUUGAAACUGGCGUUCUUGAGUGGGCGAGAAGUAUGCGGAAUGCGUGGUGUAGCGGUGAAAUGCAUAGAUAUCACGCAGAACUCCGAUUGCGAAGGCAGCAUACCGGCGCCCAACUGACGCUGAAGCACGAAAGCGUGGGUAUCGAACAGGAUUAGAUACCCUGGUAGUCCACGCAGUAAACGAUGAAUACUAGCUGUUCGGGGCAAUUGGGCCUUGAGUGGC
This 559-nucleotide ribosomal RNA is filed under the name uncultured bacterium. RNAcentral's name for it is "bacterial SSU rRNA". It matches the Rfam family "Bacterial small subunit ribosomal RNA", at positions 292 to 847 of the family's 1533-position model. The record is from RNAcentral.